UACGUAGGGUGCUAGCGUUGUCCGGAUUUAUUGGGCGUAAAGGGCUCGUCGGCGGCGUGUCGCGUCGGGAGUGAAAGCCCGCUGCUUAACGGCGGGUUGGCUUCCGGUACGGGCAUCGCUGGAGUGCGGCAGGGGAGACUGGAAUUCCGGGUGGAGUGGUGAAAUGCGUAGAGAUCCGGAGGAACACCAAAGGCGAAGGCAGUGUCCUGGGGAGUACCUGACGCUCAGGUGCGAAAGCCAGGGGAGCGAACGGG
RNAcentral lists this ribosomal RNA (254 nucleotides) under uncultured bacterium. RNAcentral's name for it is "partial 16S ribosomal RNA". It matches the Rfam family "Bacterial small subunit ribosomal RNA", at positions 524 to 776 of the family's 1533-position model. The record is from RNAcentral.